This 377-nucleotide ribosomal RNA is filed under the name uncultured organism. Its description in RNAcentral is "partial 16S ribosomal RNA". It matches the Rfam family "Bacterial small subunit ribosomal RNA", at positions 527 to 896 of the family's 1533-position model. The record is from RNAcentral.
GUAGGUGGCAAGCGUUGUCCGGAAUUAUUGGGCGUAAAGCGCGCGCAGGCGGUUUUUUUAAGUCUGAUGUGAAAGCCCACGGCUCAACCGUGGAGGGUCAUUGGAAACUGGAGAACUUGAGUACAGAAGAGGAAAGCGGAAUUCCACGUGUAGCGGUGAAAUGCGUAGAGAUGUGGAGGAACACCAGUGGCGAAGGCGGCUUUCUGGUCUGUAACUGACGCUGAGGCGCGAAAGCGUGGGGAGCAAACAGGAUUAGAUACCCUGGUAGUCCACGCCGUAAACGAUGAGUGCUAAGUGUUAGGGGGUUUCCCGCCCCCCUUAGUGCUGCAGCUAACGCAUUAAGCACUCCGCCUGGGGGAGUACGGCCCGCAAGGCUG